Molecule: unclassified non-coding RNA, 377 nt
Filed under: uncultured Gammaproteobacteria bacterium
Lineage: Bacteria; Pseudomonadati; Pseudomonadota; Gammaproteobacteria
Description: contains 16S-23S intergenic spacer region
Source: RNAcentral
UCCGGUUUGUCACCGGCAGUCUCAGUAAAGUGCCCAACUCAAUGAUGGCAAUUACCGACAAGGGUUGCGCUCGUUGCGGGACUUAACCCAACAUCUCACGACACGAGCUGACGACAGCCAUGCAGCACCUGUGUACCCAUUCUCUUGCGAGCACACCCAAAUCUCUUUGGGCUCUGGGCCAUGUCAAGGGUAGGUAAGGUUUUUCGCGUUGCAUCGAAUUAAUCCACAUCAUCCACCGCUUGUGCGGGUCCCCGUCAAUUCCUUUGAGUUUUAAUCUUGCGACCGUACUCCCCAGGCGGUCAACUUCACGCGUUAGCUGCGUUACCAAGAAAAUUAAUCCCCGACAACCAGUUGACAUCGUUUAGGGCGUGGACUAC